RNAcentral lists this ribosomal RNA (464 nucleotides) under uncultured bacterium. RNAcentral's name for it is "partial 16S ribosomal RNA". It matches the Rfam family "Bacterial small subunit ribosomal RNA", at positions 28 to 507 of the family's 1533-position model. The record is from RNAcentral.
GACGAACGCUGGCGGCGUGCUUAACACAUGCAAGUCGAACGGAAAGGCCCUGCUUGCAGGGUACUCGAGUGGCGAACGGGUGAGUAACACGUGGGUGAUCUGCCCUGCACUUCGGGAUAAGCCUGGGAAACUGGGUCUAAUACCGGAUAGUAGCCAUUUUUAGUGUGAUGGUUGGAAAGUUUUUUCGGUGUAGGAUGAGCUCGCGGCCUAUCAGCUUGUUGGUGGGGUAAUGGCCUACCAAGGCGGCGACGGGUAGCCGGCCUGAGAGGGUGGACGGCCAAUUGGGACCUGGGUUCGGGCCAGACCCCCACCGGGAGCAGCAGGUGGGGAUAAUGGAACAUGGGCGGAAGCCUGAUGGAAGGACGCCGCGUUGGGGAUGACGGCCUUCGGGUUGUAAACUCCUUUCGCUAGGGACGAAGCUUUUUGUGACGGUACCUAGAUAAGAAGCACCGGCUAACUACGUG